AUUGAACGCUGGCGGCAGGCCUAACACAUGCAAGUCGAGCGGAGCGCCGGACGGGGGAGGAAUGCCAAGGAAUCGGCCUGUGCGUGGUGGAUAAGGACCGGAAACGGGCGCUAUUACUAAUUCCUAUCAGAAGCGCAUGGGUCGGAUUAGCUAGUUGGUGGGGUAAAGGCCAACCAAGGCGACGACCCGUAACUGGUCUGGGAGGAUGAUCAGUCACACUGGAACUGAGACACGGUCCAGACUCCUACGGGAGGCAGCAGUGGGGAAUAUUGGACAAUGGGCGAAAGCCUGAUCCAGCCAUGCCGCGUGUGUGAAGAAGGUCUUCGGAUUGUAAAGCACUUUAAGUUGGGAGGCGUUACCAACAGAAUAAGCACCGGCUAACUUCGUGCCAGCAGCCGCGGUAAUUC
Molecule: ribosomal RNA, 407 nt
Filed under: uncultured bacterium
Lineage: Bacteria
Description: partial 16S ribosomal RNA
Rfam family: Bacterial small subunit ribosomal RNA
Source: RNAcentral